Molecule: long non-coding RNA, 1267 nt
Filed under: Mus caroli (Ryukyu mouse)
Lineage: Eukaryota; Metazoa; Chordata; Mammalia; Rodentia; Muridae
Description: lncRNA (MGP_CAROLIEiJ_G0006738.1)
Source: RNAcentral
AGAGCGGCCCUACCCCCUCUAGGUGGUCUGCCAUCUGACCUAAGGACCAGGCCAGCCCUGGACCUGGCCGCCUAACCUGGACCCAGGCAGGAAUAAGGUCCCCGCUGUUCUGAUCUGCCGUUCUCUUCCCAGUUUAGCAGCCUCCUUUUACAGAUGGGGACCAGUCCACGUCCUAGAGGAGUUAGGAUGACCAUAGGACAUCAAGUACCUCCCUCACCCACCCACGUCUACCCUAGAAUUUCCAUGGCAACUAGGGCAGUGAGACUACUUUGAGGACAGCCAUAUAAGUUCUAGGUGAAUGACUCUGGUAGGCAUGCAUCCCAACACGCCACGACCCCUCAAUGCAGAACCCUCCCCUGAAGAGGACCUGCAGCCCUCAAACAGUCUGGACAAGGACGGGAGUGAAGGAGCACCACUGACACCAUACCUUGAUAGUGGUGAACUCCUUUCUCCAGGGCAGCAGCCAGCCACAAAAUGACAAGCUGGUACUCGACAAGGCCAAGGCCACAUUUAGUGAAAUCUUGCAGCCCCAUGGUAAGAAGCUCAGGGGUAAAGGAAUUCAAGUCAGGCGUCUCCUGGGUGCUGCCGGAACCAAAAGAAGUUAGACUUCAAGGUGGAGGCAUAGGCUCAACACCACGCCAAGGAAAUCCAAAGCGAUGCUGGGAGAGGGGAGAGGUUGGAACACAAGUGUUCAAUAAAUGCCCAAUAACUGAGUUACAUCUAGCCUGACUCCAAGAGGCUCCAACGACCCCACUACUACUGCCGUCUGGGACUGGAAACUCCCCCGUGUCCUGCCACCACCUCCUCACAGCAACCCCAGCUGCCAUGGGUAUUUCCUUUCCUGGGUGGGUCAGCUCGCCUCCGUGGAAGACACUGCCUGUGCUCGGAUGCCAGCAUCACCCUAGGGCCCCAGCAGAAUCAAAGGGCAUCGCUGUGUGUCCCUACACGUGGGGUGGUACUGUGGGACAUUUCAUUGUGUGUGUGAGUAGGAUGAUUACUCAGACACCUUCAGGGAACUGCUGUGGGCUCAGGACUACAGCAAUGACUCAAUUCCAGCCGUCCUAAUGACACCCUGCAGACACUUGCUAUCCCAGAGCGGGAAGUCCACAAUUUCCUGGCUGGGAACAGCCCUGGGAAGAGACUGCUUCUGUGCAGAGGCUCUGGGGUUGGGCUGUCAGCUGUGAUCUCUAGGAGACUGGCAGAGGCUGGCUGUGUUGCCUGAGUCCUGGCUGCCCAGUGGGUAAACGAACAAGUCACAUGGACUUCG